AUCAUGAGUUCACAUGUCCGCAUGAUUAAAGGUAUUUUCCGGUAGACGAUGGGGAUGCGUUCCAUUAGAUAGUAGGCGGGGUAACGGCCCACCUAGUCAACGAUGGAUAGGGGUUCUGAGAGGAAGGUCCCCCACAUUGGAACUGAGACACGGUCCAAACUCCUACGGGAGGCAGCAGUGAGGAAUAUUGGUCAAUGGGCGAUGGCCUGAACCAGCCAAGUAGCGUGAAGGAUGACUGCCCUAUGGGUUGUAAACUUCUUUUAUAAAGGAAUAAAGUCGGGUAUGCAUACCCGUUUGCAUGUACUUUAUGAAUAAGGAUCGGCUAACUCCGUGCCAGCAGCCGCGGUAAUACGGAGGGUCCGAGCGUUAUUCGGAUUUAUUGGGUUUAAAGGGAGCGUAGAUGGAUGUUUAAGUCAGUUGUGAAGGUUUGCGGCUCAACCGUAAAAUUGCAGUUGAUACUGGAUGUCUUGAGUGCAGUUGAGGCAGGCGGAAUUCGUGGUGUAGCGGUGAAAUGCUUAGAUAUCACGAAGAACUCCGAUUG
Molecule: ribosomal RNA, 541 nt
Filed under: uncultured Bacteroidota bacterium
Lineage: Bacteria; Pseudomonadati; Bacteroidota
Description: bacterial SSU rRNA
Rfam family: Bacterial small subunit ribosomal RNA
Source: RNAcentral